GAGUUUUAUAUUUAGUUUAAUUUUAUAGCUAUAUAAAAAUUUAUAAUAAAAUAAAUUAAAAUAUUAUAUUGGGGUGAUAGAAAAAUAAAAUGAACUUUUUUUAAAAAAUUAACAAUAAUAAAUGAUUAAAUGAUCCAUUAUUAAUGAUUAUAAGAAAAAAUUACCUUAGGGAUAACAGCGUAAUAUUUUUUUUUAGAACAAAUAAAAAAAAAAGAUUGC
RNAcentral lists this ribosomal RNA (219 nucleotides) under Modestia modesta. RNAcentral describes it as "Magneuptychia modesta partial large subunit ribosomal RNA". The record is from RNAcentral. Lineage: Eukaryota; Metazoa; Arthropoda; Insecta; Lepidoptera; Nymphalidae.